ACAGUACAAACUGAGCAGACCGGGAUUAUAUAAAAGUAUAAUCCAGGAGUCGGGUCACAUGUGUGACAGUGGAAUCUUUUCUAUCCACGGGACAGUA
This 97-nucleotide non-coding RNA is filed under the name unclassified sequences. RNAcentral describes it as "NiCo sequence". It matches the Rfam family "NiCo (Nickel/Cobalt) riboswitch aptamer". The record is from RNAcentral.